This 253-nucleotide ribosomal RNA is filed under the name uncultured bacterium. RNAcentral's name for it is "partial 16S ribosomal RNA". It matches the Rfam family "Bacterial small subunit ribosomal RNA", at positions 524 to 776 of the family's 1533-position model. The record is from RNAcentral.
UACGAAGGGUGCAAGCGUUAAUCGGAAUUACUGGGCGUAAAGCGCGCGUAGGUGGUUCAGUAAGUUUGAAGUGAAAUCCCCGGGCUCAACCUGGGAACUGCUUUCAAAACUGCUGAGCUAGAGUACGGUAGAGGGUGGUGGAAUUUCCUGUGUAGCGGUGAAAUGCGUAGAUAUAGGAAGGAACACCAGUGGCGAAGGCGACCACCUGGACUGAUACUGACACUGAGGUGCGAAAGCGUGGGGAGCAAACAGG